RNAcentral lists this ribosomal RNA (396 nucleotides) under uncultured bacterium. Its description in RNAcentral is "bacterial SSU rRNA". It matches the Rfam family "Bacterial small subunit ribosomal RNA", at positions 505 to 898 of the family's 1533-position model. The record is from RNAcentral.
GUGUCAGCCGCCGCGGUAAGACGUAGGGGGCGAGCGUUGUCCGGAUUCAUUGGGCGUAAAGAGCGCGUAGGCGGCCCGGAAAGUGGGGUGUGAAAACCCGAGGCUCAACCUCGGGCGUGCACUCCAAACUCCCGGGCUCGAGGCAGGUAGGGGAGAUCGGAAUUCCUGGUGUAGCGGUGAAAUGCGCAGAUAUCAGGAGGAACACCGGUGGCGAAGGCGGAUCUCUGGGCCUGAUCUGACGCUGAGGCGCGAAAGCUAGGGGAGCGAACAGGAUUAGAUACCCUGGUAGUCCUAGCCGUAAACGAUGGGUGCUAGGUGUGGGCGGAUAUCAACCCCGUCCGUGCCGAAGCUAACGCAUUAAGCACCCCGCCUGGGGAGUACGGCCGCAAGGCUAAA